UAAAACUGUUUCAUCAUUUAAAGAUAGAUUCAAGUCAAGAUUUUGCCGAUUUAGAAGUAUUUUAGAUAAAAAGUUACUUAGGUUCGCUAGGAAGGUUCUCUACAACAGAGCCGUCCUAAAAAGUACUGCUUUAAGAUGGCGGCUGUCUACUAACUCAUUUAGUGCCAUGUCUGUCAUUUUGCAUCUAGUUAUAUCUAUGUACAGUACACGUGAUAUCUAUCAAGUCUACCAUAUCUACCAUAACAUGCGCGCGUAGUUUGUACUAGCUAUCGGCUACAACAUGUAUUAUUGGAGCUACCUAGCAUCGCGUUUGCUCGGCGUCACAACUUUCUUGCCUCCUCCAUACUCCUGCUCUGUCGUCUCGAUUGUUGCAGUGGUGAUGUGGAGCAAGUACACCAAGCCAUGCUUCCACUACUGCUGCUGCUGCUGUCUGCUGGUGGCUCUUCACCCCGCUCCAUCUUACACUCAUAGGCAAAUAGGUACUGGAUGUAGUGCUUCUUGAGUGAGCUGGCUGAGCUGCUGGAGGUUCCCACGCUCAGUGUGGUG
Corythoichthys intestinalis (scribbled pipefish) is the source of this 546-nucleotide long non-coding RNA. RefSeq lists it as uncharacterized. The transcript is spliced from 3 exons. The record is from RefSeq and is a predicted model, not a curated record. Lineage: Eukaryota; Metazoa; Chordata; Actinopteri; Syngnathiformes; Syngnathidae.